UACGGUGGGGGCAAGCGUUGUUCGGAAUUACUGGGCGUAAAGAGCUCGUAGGCGGCUUGUCACGUCGGAUGUGAAAUCCCUCGGCUCAACUGAGGAACUGCACGGGAAACUGCUUGGCUUGAGUUCGGGAGAGGGAAGCGGAAUUCCGGGUGUAGCGGUGAAAUGCGUAGAUAUCCGGAGGAACACCGGUGGCGAAGGCGGCUUCCUGGACCGACACUGACGCUGAGGCGCGAAAGCUAGGGGAGCAAACGGG
RNAcentral lists this ribosomal RNA (253 nucleotides) under uncultured bacterium. Its description in RNAcentral is "partial 16S ribosomal RNA". It matches the Rfam family "Bacterial small subunit ribosomal RNA", at positions 524 to 776 of the family's 1533-position model. The record is from RNAcentral.